This 71-nucleotide transfer RNA is filed under the name Cornufer macrosceles (Ti wrinkled ground frog). RNAcentral's name for it is "tRNA-Val". Lineage: Eukaryota; Metazoa; Chordata; Amphibia; Anura; Ceratobatrachidae. The record is from RNAcentral.
CAAAAUGUAGCUUAACUUAAAGCCCCCUGCUUACACCAAGACCCUGUCCGUUGAACUCGGACCAUUUUGAG